Camelina sativa (false flax) is the source of this 432-nucleotide non-coding RNA. NCBI's taxonomy places the organism in Eukaryota, Viridiplantae, Streptophyta, Magnoliopsida, Brassicales, Brassicaceae. The record is from RefSeq and is a predicted model, not a curated record.
UCAAUUUGAAACUGGUUGUAUUUAAUAUUUGUGUUAUACUUGUUUGGAUUGUUUUUGGCAGUUCACUCCAUUGACGCUGCGGAGAAAGAAGAUGCCAAGAAACCAAGAUUGACAGAGGAGCUAUCUACGGUCUAGUACUCGAUGGUGGUGAGAUGCAUGCAAGCUUUCUUUCUGGUUAUAUUUUACCGACUCUAGUUAUAUAUGACGAGACUUCUGCUACUUUUUAUUAUUUGUCUUGUUUGUUUGGUGUUUCUAGACUGCUAAGUUCUGCUCUGCUUUGUUUGCUCAAACUUUAAACUAUGUUUCUUUUGCUGUGGUUUCACAAACAUUUUAAAAAAUGUUUCUCAACUGGUGGCUUUGUUGACUGUGAGAUGGGUUCACGACUUCAUGUGUUUUUAAUUUCCUAAUAGGUAUAAAAGAACUGUGUUUUUA